AUUGAACGCUGGCGGCAUGCCUUACACAUGCAAGUCGGACGGUAGCACAGAGAGCUUGCUCUCGGGUGACGAGUGGCGGACGGGUGAGUAAUGUCUGGGGAUCUGCCCGAUAGAGGGGGAUAACCACUGGAAACGGUGGCUAAUACCGCAUAACGUCGCAAGACCAAAGAGGGGGACCUUCGGGCCUCUCACUAUCGGAUGAACCCAGAUGGGAUUAGCUAGUAGGCGGGGUAAUGGCCCACCUAGGCGACGAUCCCUAGCAGGUCUGAGAGGAUGACCAGCCACACUGGAACUGAGACACGGUCCAGACUCCUACGGGAGGCAGCAGUGGGGAAUAUUGCACAAUGGGCGCAAGCCUGAUGCAGCCAUGCCGCGUGUAUGAAGAAGGCCUUCGGGUUGUAAAGUACUUUCAGCGGGGAGGAAGGCGAUGUGGUUAAUAACCGCGUCGAUUGACGUUACCCGCAGAAGAAGCACCGGCUAACUCCGUGCCAGCAGCCGCGGUAA
This 504-nucleotide ribosomal RNA is filed under the name uncultured bacterium. RNAcentral describes it as "partial 16S ribosomal RNA". It matches the Rfam family "Bacterial small subunit ribosomal RNA", at positions 29 to 523 of the family's 1533-position model. The record is from RNAcentral.